UAACAACAACCAGGUUAGGUUGGUGUCGGCAAUUAACCCAAAUCCAAAAUUAAUGAGACAAAAAGGAUAUAAAUGCCUUAUGAUUAUACUAAUGAUGGGCUGAGCUGGUCUAAGCGGUCACCUAAUCCAUUUCAUUGCAUUUGCCCGUAAACUCUGCAAUUAAAGCCCCUCUCUUCCUUCCCCAAAGCAUCAGAAAAAAAAUUCCUUUUUAUUUGUCUUCCGUCUAAGGCGCAUGUUAGAUUCUCUUAGCAUAUAUUUAAAAAUAGAAAGUUCCCCUCUUCUCACUCUUGUCUUUCUUCGUUUCUUCUUACAGGAACCCUAAAUUUCAGGGUUUUUUUUUUUUUUUUUUUUAUGUAAGAGAUCCUGCGAUCGUGAAAAUGAUGGUCUUAUAGUUGAUGAUGAAAUUGAAGUUCAGAAUUCAGUCAAAACACCAAAGAACUGAGCAGCGUUUGUGACAAAAGAAUUAUCAAGGUUUUGUCUUGCAUUUGGAAGCUGAAGCAAUUUUCUUUUAUAAAUUUCUCAGCAAGCUUUAAAAGCUGUUCUUAAAUUGAGUAAUCCGAAAUACAUAUAUUGCAAGCUUAAAUGGGUGCUUUUUGCUGCUGUCCAUGUGGUGAUGAAUAUGAAGAAUAUGCUUAUUCUAGCAAUUCAAUAUAUAGGCACUGUAUUUGCCUAAGAUUCUUCUUCUACCAGCUAUUCACUGGGUAUAGUGCAUUGUUUAAUAGAUUGGAAGGGCGGCAUGUAUCAUCCCAGAUCCAGGCAGCUUCUCUGUCAUCAACAGCAAUUGUUACCACAAUACCAGAUAAUUCAGCCAACGAAACUCAUGUUACAAUUUCCAGACCUGUCCUUUAUGAUACCGAGCAGAGGUACUCUCGCUUGCAGCGUGAUGGCUUGGUCUCUAGGCGUGAUAAGUCUGUGACUCAUUUUCAAGACGAAACACAACCACUAAGAAGAAAUAUGAGCAGUUCUGGUAUGGAAUCAUUGGGUAUUGGGAGGAAACGGAAUGGAGUGGAGUCAGAAGAAGACUCUAAAAUUGCCCAUCCUGAGUCAUCAGAGAGGACUUUGGCACCAAAAGUUGCAUAUAGACCUGAUUAUAUGCAGCCUUCAUCUGAAGAUGAAGAUGUCUGCCCCACUUGUCUUGAUGAAUAUACCCUUGAAAAUCCUAAAAUCAUUGCACGCUGCUCACACCAUUUUCAUCUUGGUUGUAUUUAUGAAUGGUUGGAAAGGAGCGAAAGUUGUCCAAUAUGUGGCAAGGAGAUGGAGUUCUGUGAAAGCCCUUAAGUCUGUUGCAUCUGAUUCCAAUGCAAUGGAGCAAAUACGUAUAGAGCAGCAGCAGGUUGAUAUUUCCAUGCUGAAUAUAUAAGCUUUUUCUCACUGGUAUAACCAUAAUUUAUUUGCCGAUCAACUAAUUAUAGAGGUCCAAGUUGGAUUCGAGACUCGUAAUCCUAUCUAUUCGUAUACUCGUGUAAAACACAAACAAUUAGUGUUGCCGAGAGCAGAUUUCUUUUUCCAACGUACUUGUGAUACUGUAGACUUCAAUUUAGUAUAUUCACUACUCCAUUUAUUAGCAACUUGGAAGGAAAAUAUGACCUCCAACUACCUUGUUUGAGGUCUUUGAGUGCUCUCUCUUUACAAAAUAGGACCCAACAUAUUAACAUGUAGAUGCAAAUCAAUGUCGACCAUUUUGGAGGCUUUAAUGUUUGAAAAUAUGAAACUCUUUGCUCCUUUUUUUUUAAAGUUCUUGUCAAUGUCAUUGCAAAGAAAAGGGGUACUUUACUAGUAUUUCCAUUAUUCACUUGUCAGCCUUGUUUUAUUCAUGCAAAUCGUAAAACGUAAAGAGCAAUAGCUUGGCAAUGAAAGGGUAGUGUUUGAUCAUUAUAGGAC
Molecule: non-coding RNA, 1881 nt
Organism: Durio zibethinus
Lineage: Eukaryota; Viridiplantae; Streptophyta; Magnoliopsida; Malvales; Malvaceae
Source: RefSeq, a predicted model, not a curated record